This 425-nucleotide ribosomal RNA is filed under the name uncultured bacterium. Its description in RNAcentral is "partial 16S ribosomal RNA". It matches the Rfam family "Bacterial small subunit ribosomal RNA", at positions 354 to 796 of the family's 1533-position model. The record is from RNAcentral.
GUGGGGAAUCUUAGACAAUGGGCGCAAGCCUGAUCUAGCCAUGCCGCGUGAGCGAUGAAGGCCUUAGGGUUGUAAAGCUCUUUUGUGGGGGAAGAUAAUGACUGUACCCCAAGAAGAAGCCCCGGCUAACUCCGUGCCAGCAGCCGCGGUAAUACGGAGGGGGCUAGCGUUGUUCGGAAUUACUGGGCGUAAAGCGCACGUAGGCGGACUGGAAAGUCAGGGGUGAAAUCCCGGGGCUCAACCCCGGAACUGCCUUUGAAACUCCCAGUCUUGAGUUCGAGAGAGGUGAGUGGAAUUCCGAGUGUAGAGGUGAAAUUCGUAGAUAUUCGGAGGAACACCAGUGGCGAAGGCGGCUCACUGGCUCGAUACUGACGCUGAGGUGCGAAAGCGUGGGGAGCAAACAGGAUUAGAAACCCCAGUAGUCC